Molecule: ribosomal RNA, 465 nt
Filed under: uncultured bacterium
Lineage: Bacteria
Description: partial 16S ribosomal RNA
Rfam family: Bacterial small subunit ribosomal RNA
Source: RNAcentral
GACGAACGCUGGCGGUGUGCUUAACACAUGCAAGUCGAACGGUAAGGCCCUUUCGGGGGUACACGAGUGGCGAACGGGUGAGUAACACGUGAGUAACCUGCCCUCAUCUCUGGGAUAACAGUCGGAAACGGUUGCUAAUACUGGAUAUGAGCCUGCAAGGCAUCUUGUGGGUUGGAAAGAUUUUUUGGUUGGGGAUGGACUCGCGGCCUAUCAGCUUGUUGGUGAGGUAGUGGCUCACCAAGGCUUCGACGGGUAGCCGGCCUGAGAGGGCGACCGGCCACAUUGGGACUGAGAGACGGCCCAAACUCCUACGGGAGGCAGCAGUGGGGAAUAUUGCACAAUGGACGGAAGUCUGAUGCAGCAACGCCGCGUGCGGGAUGACGGCCUUCGGGUUGUAAACCGCUUUCAAUUGUGACGAAGCUUUUUGUGACGGUAGCAGUAGAAGAAGCACCGGCUAACUACGUG